ACGGCUCAGUAACACGUGGUCAACAUACCCAGAGGACGUGGAUAACCUCGGGAAACUGAGGAUAAACCGCGAUAGACCAUAAUGUCUGGAAUGAUUUAUGGUUCAAAUCUAUAUGGCCUCUGGAUUGGACUGCGGCCGAUCAGGCUGUUGGUGAGGUAAUGGCCCACCAAACCUGAAACCGGUACGGGCUCUGAGAGGAGAAGCCCGGAGAUGGGCACUGAGACAAGGGCCCAGGCCCUAUGGGGCGCAGCAGGCGCGAAACCUUUGCAAUAGGCGAAAGCCUGACAAGGUUACUCUGAGUGAUCUCCGCUAAGGAAAUCUUUUGACACCUCUAAAAAUGGUGUAGAAUAAGGGGUGGGCAAGCCUGGUGUCAGCCGCCGCGGUAAUACCAGCACCCCGAGUGGUCGGGACGAUUAUUGGGCCUAAAGCAUCCGUAGCCGGUUCUUUAAGUCCUCCGUUAAAUCCACCUGCUUAACAGAUGGGCUGCGGAGGAUACUAUAGAGCUAGGAGGCGGGAGAGGCAAGCGGUACUCAGUGGGUAGGGGUAAAAUCCGUUGAUCCAUUGAAGACCACCAGUGGCGAAGGCGGCUUGCCAGAACGCGCUCGACGGUGAGGGAUGAAAGCUGGGGGAGCAAACCGGAUUAGAUACCCGGGUAGUCCCAGCUGUAAACGAUGCAGACUCGGUGAUGAACAGGCUUCGUGCCUGUUCAGUGCCGCAGGGAAGCCGUUAAGUCUGCCGCCUGGGGAGUACGGUCGCAAGACUGAAACUUAAGGAAAUUGGCGGGGGAG
This 788-nucleotide ribosomal RNA is filed under the name uncultured archaeon. RNAcentral's name for it is "bacterial SSU rRNA". It matches the Rfam family "Archaeal small subunit ribosomal RNA", at positions 85 to 876 of the family's 1478-position model. The record is from RNAcentral.